AAAAGAGUCAUAUGCAUCUUUGCCCCUCUCAGUUUUCAUCCUCGCUCCGCCCCUGCACGCGAUGGGGAUCCCCCAUCUCCCAGCAAACCUUGCAGCUGCACGCCACCUCCCUCGUCCUAAGGUUGGGCGCGAUGUGAACUGCGAACGGAUCAGUGAUUGGACUAGCAGCAGUUAACUGUACCAACACGGGCUGACAACAACUCGCACGCGUUCGUCUCCGUCGACGGCGGUCAGCACCUCUAACACAUGACAGACCCGCUCCCCUAGCUCCUGUUGCUUCCAUGACAACUGCUCAUGCGCACCUCCAACGCAUGACCAGCUGUCCCCUGGUUCUUCUUUUGUUCAUGGAGUUGGAGCGUGCUGCAACUAACUUUCAUUUCUGAAACUCAAAUCCCUCCAGUUCAGUCCAUGUAUUGUUCUUGUAGGCAGAUUUGAACAAUCUAAAACUGGAAAAAAGAAUGCGUCAGUAUAGCUACUAAACAGAAAAUGGUCUAGUGUAUGUUGCUUUUGUGGUUUUUUGUGUGCUCGUAUUUGCAUAAUUUACCUCAAAUGAAAAUUCAGUUACUUGUGUA
This is a non-coding RNA of Triticum urartu, 572 nucleotides long. Lineage: Eukaryota; Viridiplantae; Streptophyta; Magnoliopsida; Poales; Poaceae. The record is from RefSeq and is a predicted model, not a curated record.